UUGUUGGAAAUAAGUUUUAUCGAGGAAAGAGAGCUUUACUUUUUCUUCUUUUUUUUUUUUUAGAGAUAGGUAGGAUGCUACCCACUUUAUUUAUUUCAUUUAGAAAUAAAUUUAGCUGGAAAUGUGAAUUAACUAGGAUUCGAACUUGGGAUCUCGGGUACCAACCAUCAAGCCUUUCGCUACUUGCUCUAGGUUAGCUUCUCGCUAAUGAGAUGUGAGAGAUUAUUAAGUAGUCCAACACGUAGACCCGGGAUACAGAUCUGAUGGUGAAAUCGAAGAAGAAUGUAGACACAUCGUUAAUCGGAUACAGGCAGAAAAAGCCG
RNAcentral lists this long non-coding RNA (323 nucleotides) under Ananas comosus (pineapple). RNAcentral's name for it is "long non-coding RNA (ACOM_LNC002306)". Lineage: Eukaryota; Viridiplantae; Streptophyta; Magnoliopsida; Poales; Bromeliaceae. The record is from RNAcentral.